GCCGGGUGCGGUGGCGCGCGCCUGUAAUCCAAGUUACCGGGAGGCUGAGGCUCGAGGAUCGUUUGAGCUCAGGAGCUCUGAGCUGCAGCGGACUAUGCCGAUCGGGUGUCCGCACUAAGUUCGGUAUCGAUAUGGUGUUCCUUGGGGAGUCCGGGACCACCAGGUCGUCUAAGGAGGGGUGAACCGGCCCAGGUCGGAAACGGAGCAGGUCAAAUCCCCCGUGCCGCUCAGUAGUGGGAUCGCGCCUGUGAAUAGACGUUGGAGUGCAGCCUGAGCAAUACAGCGAGACCCAGUCUUU
RNAcentral lists this signal recognition particle RNA (298 nucleotides) under Labrus bergylta (ballan wrasse). RNAcentral's name for it is "Metazoan signal recognition particle RNA (ENSLBEG00000026231.1)". It matches the Rfam family "Metazoan signal recognition particle RNA". From Rfam's summary of the family: The signal recognition particle (SRP) is a universally conserved ribonucleoprotein. The record is from RNAcentral. Lineage: Eukaryota; Metazoa; Chordata; Actinopteri; Labriformes; Labridae.